RNAcentral lists this ribosomal RNA (437 nucleotides) under uncultured Gloeobacter sp. RNAcentral's name for it is "bacterial SSU rRNA". It matches the Rfam family "Bacterial small subunit ribosomal RNA", at positions 307 to 748 of the family's 1533-position model. The record is from RNAcentral. Lineage: Bacteria; Bacillati; Cyanobacteriota; Cyanophyceae; Gloeobacterales; Gloeobacteraceae.
GCCACACUGGGAAUGGGACCCCUACCAGACUCCUACGGGAGGCAGCAGUGCGGACUUUUCCGCAAUGGGCGCAAGCCUGACGGAGCAAAACCGCGUGGGGGAGGAAGGCCCUUGGGUCGUAAACCUCUUUUCUCAGGGACGAAGACUGACGGUCCCUGAGGAAUAAGCAUCGGCUAACUCCGUGCCAGCAGCCGCGGUAAGACGGAGGAUGCAAGCGUUAUCCGGAAUUAUUGGGCGUAAAGCGUACGUAGGCGGCCUAGCAAGUCCGGGGUUAACCCCCACAACUCAACUGUGGAUGGGCCUUGGAAACUGCAAGGCUGGAGGGUGGUAGGGGUAGAGGGAAUUUCCCGGUGUAGCGGUGAAAUGCGUAGAUAUCGGGAAGAACUUCUUAAAAGGGCGAAAGCGCUCUAAUGGAACCCACAACCCUGCACGCGCCC